Molecule: ribosomal RNA, 412 nt
Filed under: uncultured Bacteroidota bacterium
Lineage: Bacteria; Pseudomonadati; Bacteroidota
Description: bacterial SSU rRNA
Rfam family: Bacterial small subunit ribosomal RNA
Source: RNAcentral
UCUGAUGACGACCGGUGCACGGGUGCGUAACGCGUAUACAAUCUGCCUUAUACUGGGGUAUAGCCUUUAGAAAUGAAGAUUAAUCCCCCAUAGCCUCUUUUAAUGGCAUCAUUACAAGAGUAAAGGUUACGGUAUAAGAUGAGUAUGCGUUCUAUUAGUUUGUUGGUGAGGUAACGGCUCACCAAGACUGCGAUAGAUAGGGGCCCUGAGAGGGGGAUCCCCCACACUGGUACUGAGACACGGACCAGACUCCUACGGGAGGCAGCAGUGAGGAAUAUUGGACAAUGGAGGCAACUCUGAUCCAGCCAUGCCGCGUGCAGGAAGACUGCCCUAUGGGUUGUAAACUGCUUUUAUACAGGAAGAAACCUUGGUACGUGUACCAAGCUGACGGUACUGUAAGAAUAAGGAUCGG